AGUACCUUUGAAUCUUUAACUGAAUAAAAAUCAAGCCAGGAAAGAACAGUUACUGGGGAGCAGUAAGCCAAUGAGUUAACAGAGCUCAAAAAGGGCAGGGAAGGGCCAGGGAUGUAGCUCAGUGGCGCCACACCUACAUGGCAAAUGCAAGGUCCUGAGUUCCAUCCCUGGUACCGCCAAAAACAACAACAACAAUCAUUUGAGCUCCCACCAACCAGAAUGGAAAGACUUGACCAUGUGGAACUUACAUUUGAGACCUAAACUUGGAGGCCCAGAAUAAAAGCUAGUGUAGAUCCUUCAAAAGCCCUUAAAAGGAUCAAACUGCUCAAUGAGUAACCUUACAGCCUGCUGGAACAAAGUCAACUACUCUGUAAAAGACUGCAGCAAAAUCCAAGAUCCAACAGCGUUAAAUUCAGAAUAUUUUAGCACCCAAUAAAAAAAUAAAAGAUGCCAUUCAUGGUGGUGAGAUAGGAGAUUAGGGCGUGGCAAAGUUAGUUAGGGAAGUGUGACCUGUUCAUUACAAGAUCACAGGACACAUGCACCCAACAGUUUCCAAAGCCCUGCGUAUGGACUUCUUGGGAGAUCUUGAGCAGAUUUUCAACAGAAUGGACAAGACCUGAAGUCACCCUGAGGCUACUGGAAAUUGAACCCAGGGCUUCACAAUGCUAGGAAAGUGCUCUACCAUUGAGAUACAUCUCCAGCCCAGGGUACAUUUCAAGAUCACACAUUGGAUGUAGUUGUCAUUUCACUUUGACAGCUUUUUUUUUUUAAAGACUUUCAAUUUUUUAAAAAAGACUGCCAAUUUGGGGCUUUUUGUUUGUUUGUUUGUUUUUUUGAGACAGGGUCUGGCUAGUUCAGACUGGCCUUGAACUCACUAUGUAGCCCAGGCUAGCCUCAAACUCACAGCAAUCCUCCUGCUUCAGCUUCCUGGGUGCUGGAAUGACAGGCAUGCACUACCCUAUCUGGCUUAUUUUGAUAUCUUUGAUAUCUUUAGUAACUACUGGCCUUCGCUGUAAGGUAGUCCUUCAUGUGCCUCUGUCAGAUGUCUUCUCAUGAACACAUUCAGAUGAUUCAUUCCUUGCUAAAGGACAAAAAAAUUCUGCUGUGAUUUUCUUAAUGCUUCACAUCAUAGAGGAACUUAUUGUCAUCCCAUCUUAACAAAAGUGAUAACAACCACGGCUUCCAGAACAAAGUACCACAGAUUGGAGGCUUAAAUAACAAAAAUUUAUAUCUCGCAAUUCUGGGGGCUAGAAGUCCAUAAUGAAGGUGCCAGUGGAUUGGUUUAUUGUGAGGCCUCUCUCUUUGGCCUGCAGAUGGCCAUCUUAUCCUUGUGUAUUCAUGCAGCCUUCCCUCUGUGCAUGUCUGUGUCCAUGUUCCCUCUUCUGAGCACAGUAGUCCUGUUGGAGUAGGACCCACCUUAAUGACCUUAUUUUAGCAUGAACAUUUCCUUAAAGAACUUAUGGGCUGGUGCAGCUUGGUGAUGGAGCACCUGCUUGCAUGUGCAAAGCCCUUGUUUCAAUUCCUAGCACUGAAAAAAAGAGAGAAAAUCAACAGACCCUCUCUCCAAAUCAACCACAUUCUAAGGUAUGGGGUGUUAGAACUUCAACUUAUAAAUUCUAGGGGGACAAUUCAGCCCACAGCAAUAGCCUUUAUCACCUCGUCAAGGUGGGGGAAGUUUCUCCACUGUAUUGUCACCAUUUUUCCUCGGUAACUGAUAUUUUAUGGAGAAGUGUACUCAGACUAGAUCAGUAUGCUGUAUCCUGUAUCAGACCCCCAUCCACAAGCUUUACCAUCCGCUGAUUAUUCUUAUUUGAGUCAGCUGUCAUUAUAAUAACCUGAAAUGAUUUUUUCUUUUUCCAUUAUGCCCUCUAUAAUUGGCAUUCUACUACAAAGACAAGCUUUCCUUUCUCACUUAUUUUUUAUUUAGAUCAGUAUACAAUUAUAGCUUUGGUUUUUUAUUCAGGGGGCUAUAAUUCGUUUCUAUCUUUUUUUCCCUCAAAUUGACCUUGAUUUGACCAAUGAAGUCCUUCCCUGUGUCUUUUUUUUUAAUUACAUGAUUUCAUUAUUUCUUAUUUUUUCUUUUUUUAAAUUUUAUUUAAUUUUUUAUUUUGAGGUAAGUUCUCACUAAACUGCUAAGUUGUCCAGGCUGGACUCAAACUUGAGAACUUCUUGCCUCAGCCUCUGAGGAUGCUGG
This 2194-nucleotide long non-coding RNA is filed under the name Heterocephalus glaber (naked mole-rat). RNAcentral describes it as "lncRNA (ENSHGLG00000032881.1)". Lineage: Eukaryota; Metazoa; Chordata; Mammalia; Rodentia; Bathyergidae. The record is from RNAcentral.